RNAcentral lists this long non-coding RNA (2167 nucleotides) under Panax ginseng (ginseng). RNAcentral describes it as "long non-coding RNA (PGIN_LNC009292)". Lineage: Eukaryota; Viridiplantae; Streptophyta; Magnoliopsida; Apiales; Araliaceae. The record is from RNAcentral.
UCGCCAACAUUAAAGAACUCGUCAUCGGAGAUGACGAAACCCAACCAGUAACAUUAAAGAAUUAGCCACGAGCGAUGGCAAAAUCUUCUGAAUGUUCCCAUCCGACUCAUCACAUUUUUCUCGUUGAUCAUCUAUUAGUGACGAAGAAGUCAACAUUAGGGUUUAUGGUUUCUGAAUCCACCAAUCAACAAUCUGUUGGUCGCUCCCCUCGCCCCACUGCCGCAGACGACUGCGGUGCAAGGUAUUUCUCAGUUCCCCAUUCAUUUUCGAUCUCUACACGGAUCCUAAACACUGUCUAGUCUUUUCUGGCUGUAAUGCUCGAAUUCUCCAUGAACCUUCGAUUCAAUCGGGGGUGCCAUAGGAGAAUGAAAAUCAAUAAAAAAAUAAAAUUAGACGUUUUAUUGCUUUAAAAAAAUAAAUCUUCAAAAACUUCUCAAAAUUCUGUAAUUACAUCGAAUUCUUCAACAAAAAUCAAAAGUUGAUUUCAAAUCCUCAUGAAUAUAUCCUCCAAAACUUGAUUUCACUAUUUUUUUAAAACUCAUAAAAUUACUUUAUAAUUACAAAACCCACUUUUGAUUUUGGUCUAUACGCAGAGGAGAGAAAAAUUAUUGGUGAUAGGUGAUGAGAUAUUCAUGGGACCAUGGAUCCUCUGUUUGAUCCGAUGGAACAAGAGAGUUAAGAGUUUUACUUGAAGCAGCAACAACAACGUGGUGGUGAAGAUGAUUAGAGGAUAAAUGAGGGCCACACAACAGCAUGUCAUCUCCCUUUCUUUUUUAUUUUAUUUGUUUUAAUGGGCAAAGGGUCAAAAAUGCUCCUGACUUUUAACGCGAUGUCUACCGAGCACCCUAUAUUUUUUUUUAUCCAAAAAUAUCCUUAACGUUACAUUUUUGGGUCGAAUGUGCCCCUCCCGUUAACAGACAUACCACGUAGACAAACGUGACUAACAGUUGGACAAAUUUUACUGGCGAGGCAUGGAGAGAGAGUAAAAUAAUACUAAUACAUUAUUAAUUAAAAUAAUACAAUAAUAAAAAAAAUCAAAUCCAAUAUAUUCACUUCCCAAAUCUCUCAUACCUACCCAAUGAUUUCGUCACCUAAAGCCAAACAUCACCCAAAUACAAUGAAAAUGAAACUCAAAUUCAGGCCACAAAGGCCUUGUGUAUUAAGAAUUUUGGGAUUGGAUUAAAUAGAUUGUACUUGUUCUGAUCAUGCUCUAUUUUUAAUAAAAACAGGGGAGAAAACGUAUUUUGUAGCAACCUGUAAAUACAGGCAGAUGUUGGUGGAUGAAAGGAAGGAGAAGUAUUGUAGCUCUAAAGCUUCAAGAUCUGCUACUGCUGCUGAUAUUUCAAAUUCCUUUUAGUUGCAUUAAAAAAUAUUGUCUAAUUUGAAAGAGUACUUGUACGCAUAGUAGGAGACGAAAGUAAUUGAAUAUUUGAUUAUUGAGAGGUUUGGAUUUCAAAUAUAUGAAUGACAAAUAUUUGUUCAAUUGUACAAAGAAUAUGGACUUGAAGCUAGACUAUCAUCUAUAAAAUUGGCUCAUCCCAUACAUUUUCAAACCUUAUACCUGUAAGUGAACCUUUUUCGAAAACAUGUAUUGUCUCACUUCGAGCCCUCUUUAAGCUUCUUGAAUCAUCAAUAGGGAAUUGCUUACAAAACCAUUAAGCAGACUCAUACACUGGUUGUUACAGAGAACUGAACCAAUUUUUCUGCUGCUUAGGGGAACUAGGCCACUUGGGAAACUCAACUUUGGACCAUGUCCCAAAACAUAUUUUGUAGUUCAUUCAUGUUGUAAUAUUUAUCCUACACAUAAACAUUUAUGAACAAUCAAUUAGAACACCCACCUUCCACUGCAACAGAAUAUUUAUCCUUUCAGCCAAAACCCCCUAAUAUUCUUCAUAAUAUGUAGAAAGAUUUUUAAGGGUGCAAACAUCACACAAGGAAAAACCUUGUCUUCUCUUCUUAGAAUCUGCCAAGUGCCAAGGCCGAAAGUUAUAGCUCCAUGAACAAAAAGCAAAAAUCUUGACCAUCCUAAGUUCCUAACCCUCUUUGUUCCUCUGUUAAAUAUCAAAAUAUUUAAAUUAGGCAUCAACCAGUCAAUUUAUACACAUAUAUACAUGCAUAUAAAAGGAAAAACCUUGAGAUUCUGACGGAGAGGAGAUAGCUGCAGCAG